GCCUGUGAGAUGAGACCAAGUUUAUGCAUGUACAAGUCGGAAUUUGAGCAACCACUGUCUUCACCUCCAUUCUCGGCAUGGCCCUAAUCUAGGCAAGCACUUUCUCUCUGUCUCUGUCUCACAAGGUGGUGUCUUGAGAAGACAUGGUGCAUGGUGUCAGCUGAGGUGCUGGGUGGUGGUGGUUUGGAUGUGUUGAGUAAUUCCAAGGUCUGGGAUGGAGGUUGGGUCUAGGGAGGGGAGGGGAGAGAGAGGUAGAUAGAAGAAAGUAAAAAAGGAGAGAGACGAGAUAGAGGAGGUGGGGUGCGAUGGUGGUUAGAUUGGGGAGGGGAGAGAAGAGAGAGGUAGUGAGAG
RNAcentral lists this long non-coding RNA (351 nucleotides) under Prunus dulcis (almond). Its description in RNAcentral is "sRNA ncRNA". Lineage: Eukaryota; Viridiplantae; Streptophyta; Magnoliopsida; Rosales; Rosaceae. The record is from RNAcentral.